AAUAAGUACAAUUUUACCUGUUCAUAUUCAAUGUUUGAUCGUCCGUAUUAUUUGAAAUUUUUUUAUGAUUAGUAUUUUUAUUAUUAUUAGAUAAUAAAACAUAAAUAAUAUUUUAUGUGUGACUAUGUUUUUAAUUUUUUUCAUAAAAUUUUUAAAAUUUUCAAAUAAGACGAACGGUCAAACGUUGGAUACGGAUAUUCACGGUUAUACCUUUG
Non-coding RNA from Oryza punctata, 215 nucleotides. Lineage: Eukaryota; Viridiplantae; Streptophyta; Magnoliopsida; Poales; Poaceae. The record is from Rfam.